AGCGAUGCAAACAUGGUGUUGACAAUUGAUUACUAAUCAAAGUACUGAAUUCACCCUGAUUUAAAAAUUAUUGUUAUGGCCAAAGUCACUGUGUGAAUCUCGGAGUAAAACUUGUCUUUGGUAAUGGAACAAAAUUAACUGUGAUGCCAGAACAUUACUCCAAACCUUCUGCCUAUAUUUUGAAAUCAAACAAGGAUGGGAAGGCAAAAGCUUGUCUUGUGGAUACCUUGAGCAGCACUAACCUUACAGUAGAACUGUCUGGCGAGAAAGCUGAAAUAGAUCCUUCUAUUGUGGACACAGAAAGAUUGUUCAGCGUAGUGGCUAUUCCUAAAGAAUCAAAUGAUGUUCUAAAUUGCAUAAUUAAAUACAAAAAUGAAUCAGACGACAUUGUGUAUGAUGCAGCUAUUGAUGAAGAAAUUAAUAUAUGCAACGGUGACAUUAAUACAGAUGAAAAUCUGAAUACCUUGACUUUGGCUGUUUUGGCUUUAAGAAUAAUUUUUUUUAAGAGCAUCGUGUUCAAUGUCCUCAUGACAGCACGAGCAUGGAUGAGCUAGGAUCACUUGGUUUUAUUAACAAUGUCAAGUAGAAAUACUCAACUGAAAAAAAGAAUCUUUAGCCUGCAUUAUUAAAGACAUAUUUCAAUAGGACAGAUUUAAUCAAAGUAUGCAUGGGCAUUGUUUAUUGUUAUUGCUUUUGUUAUCUAUAUUCAUGUUUUUCAACAAAUGUAUGUACAUGUUCAGAUGUAAUUUAUGUUAUCAUUGUUUUCCAGAAAUACAUUACAAUACUUUGCUGUACUCUUGAAUUUAUGAAAACAUUUUAUUUUUGUGCAAGGUUAUUUAGCAGAGCUCUUCAUUGAAAAUGUUAUCCUGUUUACUUAGUAGCUCUGAAAUGUGCUAGUUGUAAAUAUAUACCUCUAUACAUUCAUUGUUAGAAUAAAGAUGCACAUACUUACCUGAAUAAUGUGUCAUUUAAUAUAUUUUAACAAAUUGUGUCUUUGUUAUAGUAGUGUUUUAUUUUGCAUUGGUGGAACUGACAAUUAGUUCUUCAGCGGGUCUUAAUUUAUAACUGUUUGGUUUUCCAUUUUUACCAGAAAUACAGAUGAUGUUUUUCGAAUAAAAUCCACUAAAAAUCCUAAAAUCCAAAAUACCCUGCAGAGGUCACAGGUCAGCUAAUAAUGUUCAUGGGAGAGCAUAAUAGAGCAAUAACCUUGGGUGCCCAGUAUAUCAGGAAUGCUUUAACAAGGCUGUAAAGAUGUAACGUUCACUGAUUGAUUUCAACAUGUGUUGUUAUUGUGAUGAAACCAAAUUUUUGACAUAAAUUUAUCCAAUUGUUUUCAUUUCUGUACAUUUUGUAUGUUUAUUUGACAUUUUUUAUUACUUUUUUGUUAUUCAGGCAAUGUGAUUUUUUUAUAUAGUUGCCACUAGUUUGGGACUAUCUUUUCAUGGCUGUGGCCAUCUUGUUUAAAGGUUGCUAUGUCAGCUGUCAGUCACAUAACACUGAAAUCAACUGACAUAUUAGGUGGUGCUGUUUUCAUUUUAAAAGAUGGUGGUCCAAAGCUUCAGCCAUCUGAGUACUGAGUCAAAGACAAAAAAACAAACAAAAAAAAAAUCUCCAAUAUAGUGUGAUUUAGCGUUAAACAGUCAGACUACAACAAGGAUUAUUCUAUAUGCUUUCAGAUGUCUUGGUUUUGAUGAUUAAUUUGGAUGGUUAUUUAUUUAUUUUUGACAAAAUGUCUGUUUUGCUUUUAAGCAUCAUUAAUAUCCUGGCCAAUUUUUCCAUUGUUCUUAAUACUUUCUGAGCUCCUAUUUUCUCAUGAUAAUCAUUAGACAAAAAAAAAAAAAGAUAAAACUGUAGUAAAAGAGUUGUUAAUCUGCUUUCCAUUUAUAAAAAAUUACCUUCACAUGUCUGGGUUGACAUGUUUGGUUUGGUGUGUAAUACUUCUUUCAUAUAAAAAGGAAUUAUGACUGCACUGGACCAAAGACAAAGCUCAUGCAUUUAUUCAGUUCUGGGCUGAUAACGGUAUUAAAGGUAAGAUUCAACAUUCAUCUUGUAUCCAGAAAGUAUAUAGAGAAGAGUCAGUCAGUCAUGUCAGUCAUCAUCCAAACCACUAUAUCCUAACAGGGUCACGGGGGUCUGAUGUAGCCAAUCCCAACCAACACAGAGCGCAAGGCGGGAACAAACCCUGGGCAGAGCGCCACCACAGGGCUAGAGAAGAGUCAAAAAGCUCAAUUCAACAGUCUUCAUAUACAGUCUAAAACAGUACUGAGAAAACAUUACAACAAGAGCAUAAAAAAAAA
Non-coding RNA from Polypterus senegalus (gray bichir), 2297 nucleotides. Lineage: Eukaryota; Metazoa; Chordata; Cladistia; Polypteriformes; Polypteridae. The record is from the annotation of a RefSeq genome assembly.